AGCGAACGUUAGCGGCGGGCCUAACACAUGCAAGUCGAACGAGAAUGAGGGGGCAACUCCUCUAGUAAAGUGGCGGACGGGUGCGUAACACGUGGGUAAUCUACCUUCCAGCGGGGGACAACCGUCCGAAAGGAUGGCUAAUACCGCGUACGUCGGCGAGGGCCCUGGUCCUUGUCGGGAAAGACGGCCUCUUCAUGAAAGCUGUCCCUGGAAGAUGAGCUCGCGGCCCAUCAGCUAGUUGGGA
RNAcentral lists this ribosomal RNA (244 nucleotides) under uncultured bacterium. RNAcentral's name for it is "partial 16S ribosomal RNA". It matches the Rfam family "Bacterial small subunit ribosomal RNA", at positions 29 to 254 of the family's 1533-position model. The record is from RNAcentral.